Molecule: long non-coding RNA, 605 nt
Organism: Lycium ferocissimum
Lineage: Eukaryota; Viridiplantae; Streptophyta; Magnoliopsida; Solanales; Solanaceae
Exons: 2
Source: RefSeq, a predicted model, not a curated record
CUUCCUUAUUCUUUGAUUUUGCUCUAAUUGUAAUUUAGCUUUAUUUCAUCUUGCAUGUGGAUUUUUUCCGCAUACUUGUGUUUUUUCUACGCUGAAACUCUCAGUAGAAUCAGUGAUGAUAAGCUCGUUGUAAAUCACUGAUUUUGUGUUUUCAUUUUCGUAUCUAGGUUCGUUGGUUUCGAAGAAAUUGCUUCUUCUGUUGCUUAGAUAUUGUCGAUAAAGAAAUGUAGUAGAGCGCGCAUUUGGCGUUUGGAAAGCAAAGAUGGUCUAUUUUGAGAGACAUGCCAUACUAUCACAUUGACACACAAAGGGACAUCGUACUUGCUACUAUGGCCAUUCACAAUUAUAUUAGAAAGAAAUGCAAUGUGGAUGAUGCAUUCCAAACAGUGAGAAUGAGAGCUAUAUUCCAUCGGUUGAUUCUAAUGAUAUUGGCACAACUUCAAGAGCUAACAAUGUAGAUGUCGAAGAUGUAGGAGAACAAAAUGAUGUCUAUUGGAUGGGGUUUCGUGAUAUGAUUGCUAGUGACAUUUCUAAUGCUUGAUGCUUGUAUUAUAUGAAUAUUUUCCACUUCUUGUAUUUAUAGUGGAGUGCUUUCGGUUGUAUUA